GAACGACUCUCGGCAACGGAUAUCUCGGCUCUCGCAUCGAUGAAGAACGUAGCGAAAUGCGAUACUUGGUGUGAAUUGCAGAAUCCCGUGAACCAUCGAGUCUUUGAAUGCAAGUUGCGCCCGAAGCCUUCGGGCCAAGGGCACGUCUGCCUGGGCGUCACGCA
This 164-nucleotide ribosomal RNA is filed under the name Persicaria glabra. RNAcentral's name for it is "5.8S ribosomal RNA". It matches the Rfam family "5.8S ribosomal RNA". Rfam says of the family: 5.8S ribosomal RNA (5.8S rRNA) is a component of the large subunit of the eukaryotic ribosome. It is transcribed by RNA polymerase I as part of the 45S precursor that also contains 18S and 28S rRNA. Functionally, it is thought that 5.8S rRNA may be involved in ribosome translocation. Lineage: Eukaryota; Viridiplantae; Streptophyta; Magnoliopsida; Caryophyllales; Polygonaceae. The record is from RNAcentral.